ACGGGUGAGUAAUACGUAGGGAUCUACCUUAGAGAGGGGGAUAACUCGGGGAAACUCGAGCUAAUACCGCAUAUUGCCUUCGGGUGAAAGGAUGGGACCAGCAAUGGCCAUGCGCUGUAAGAUGAACCUACGUCGGAUUAGCUAGUUGGUAGGGUAAAGGCCUACCAAGGCGAUGAUCCGUAGCUGGUCUGAGAGGAUGAUCAGCCACACUGGGACUGAGACACGGCCCAGACUCCUACGGGAGGCAGCAGUGGGGAAUAUUGGACAAUGGGGGCAACCCUGAUCCAGCAAUGCCGCGUGUGUGAAGAAGGCCUGCGGGUUGUAAAGCACUUUAGUUGGGGAAGAAGUUAAUACUACGAAUAGUGGUGUUGAUUGACAUUACCCAAAGAAUAAGCACCGGCUAACUCUGUGCCAGCAGCCGCGGUAAUACAGAGGGUGCGAGCGUUAAUCGGAAUUACUGGGCGUAAAGGGUGCGUAGGCGGUUAUGUAAGUGAGAUGUGAAAGCCCCGGGCUUAACCUGGGAAUGGCAUCUCAGACUGUAUAGCUAGAGUUGGGUAGAGGGGAGUGGAA
This 570-nucleotide ribosomal RNA is filed under the name uncultured Gammaproteobacteria bacterium. RNAcentral's name for it is "bacterial SSU rRNA". It matches the Rfam family "Bacterial small subunit ribosomal RNA", at positions 102 to 666 of the family's 1533-position model. Lineage: Bacteria; Pseudomonadati; Pseudomonadota; Gammaproteobacteria. The record is from RNAcentral.